RNAcentral lists this unclassified non-coding RNA (163 nucleotides) under Cryptococcus sp. (in: basidiomycete fungi). RNAcentral's name for it is "Cryptococcus sp. (in: Fungi) partial contains small subunit ribosomal RNA, internal transcribed spacer 1, and 5.8S ribosomal RNA". The stretch from base 1 to 46 matches the Rfam family "Eukaryotic small subunit ribosomal RNA", at positions 1786 to 1831 of the family's 1831-position model. Lineage: Eukaryota; Fungi; Basidiomycota; Tremellomycetes; Tremellales; Cryptococcaceae. The record is from RNAcentral.
AAGUCGUAACAAGGUUUCCGUAGGUGAACCUGCGGAAGGAUCAUUAUAGAUUGCUCUCUGAGCUCCAUCUCUGUGCACCGUGGCCUCGGCCUACACACAACUGUCUGAAUGUAUCUUGUAUGAGAAUAAAAUAAAACUUUCAACAACGGAUCUCUUGGCUCUC